RNAcentral lists this ribosomal RNA (253 nucleotides) under uncultured bacterium. RNAcentral's name for it is "partial 16S ribosomal RNA". It matches the Rfam family "Bacterial small subunit ribosomal RNA", at positions 524 to 776 of the family's 1533-position model. The record is from RNAcentral.
UACGGAGGGUGCAAGCGUUAUCCGGAUUCAUUGGGUUUAAAGGGUGCGCAGGCGGAAUGAUAAGUCAGUGGUGAAAUCCUACGGCUCAACCGUAGACCUGGCAUUGAUACUGUUUUUCUUGAGUACAGUGGAAGUGGGCGGAAUGUAUCAUGUAGCGGUGAAAUGCAUAGAUAUGAUACAGAACUCCGAUAGCGAUAGCAGCUCACUAUACUGAAACUGACGCUCAUGCACGAAAGCGUGGGGAGCAAACAGG